GUGUUCAUUUACCUUUGCAUGAGUGCUUAAAAUACAUAUUUCUGUUUCAAGAUGACAUUUAAAAAUUAUUCUAAUAUAUCAGCAGCAAAAAUAUAAUUUGCAAUUACAAAAAACUAAACUAGAAUCCUUUAUUCUCAUGUUUACAGUUGUGAUUUUUUAAUAAAUACUACUAUUAUGCAGCUCUAUUGUUUAAGCUUUCUGGAUUUGGCUUAAACACAUGCACAUAUAUUGUCAAUUGUGGGAAGCUUUACAAGUUAUAUUCCAUGCACUUUUUGGACAGAUUCAUCUUAAAAAUUUAAGAAGGUGGACAUUUCAACACCAUCAAGUGCAUUUAGGUGACAUGUUUAAGUUAACUUGACUUCCUUGAAUGACCUAGUUAGUAAACUAGUCACUAGUAAUUCGGUCACCAGGCAAAUCAAGCCUGCAAGAAAGGAAGC
This 437-nucleotide long non-coding RNA is filed under the name Homo sapiens (human). RNAcentral's name for it is "HSALNT0012642". The record is from RNAcentral. Lineage: Eukaryota; Metazoa; Chordata; Mammalia; Primates; Hominidae.